Molecule: ribosomal RNA, 497 nt
Filed under: uncultured bacterium
Lineage: Bacteria
Description: partial 16S ribosomal RNA
Rfam family: Bacterial small subunit ribosomal RNA
Source: RNAcentral
GAUGAACGCUGGCGGCGUGCCUAAUACAUGCAAGUCGAGCGAACGGACGAGAAGCUUGCUUCUCUGAUGUUAGCGGCGGACGGGUGAGUAACACGUGGAUAACCUACCUAUAAGACUGGGAUAACUUCGGGAAACCGGAGCUAAUACCGGAUAAUAUUUUGAACCGCAUGGUUCAAAAGUGAAAGACGGUCUUGCUGUCACUUAUAGAUGGAUCCGCGCUGCAUUAGCUAGUUGGUAAGGUAACGGCUUACCAAGGCAACGAUGCAUAGCCGACCUGAGAGGGUGAGCGGCCACACUGGAACUGAGACACGGUCCAGACGCCUACGGGAGGCAGCAGUAGGGAAUCUUCCGCAAUGGGCGAAAGCCUGACGGAGCAACGCCGCGUGAGUGAUGAAGGUCUUCGGAUCGUAAAACUCUGUUAUUAGGGAAGAACAAAUGUGUAAGUAACUAUGCACGUCUUGACGGUACCUAAUCAGAAAGCCACGGCUAACUACGUG